AUGGUCUUGGACUCUUGGGUGCUGCAGAAAUGGGAAAAGCAUUUGGGCAGAAAGACUGGUUUGACGGAAAUACCAACAAAGUCCGACUGUAUAUAUUGGUGCCUACUACAUUUCAUGCCACCUUUUCUGCAAAGAUUUUUGUUGCUUACCUUGCUGUACUCUCAAAGGAUCUGGUGGGUAUUUACUUUUUUUUUUUUUUUUUUUUUUGAGUUUCCAAAUUCUGAUGAGGUUUUUUUUUUUAAGAUUUUAUUUAUUUAUUUGGCAGAGAGAGAGAGAUCACAAGUAGUCAGAGAGGCAGACAAAGAGAGAGGGGGAGGCAGGUCCCCUGCUGAGCAGAGAGCCCGAUGCGGGGCUCGAUCCCAGGACCCUAAGAUCAUGACCUGAGCCGAAAGCAGAGGCUUAGCCCACUGCACCACCUAGGCACCCCUCUAUGAUGAGUUUUAAAACCAUUUUUCUUUAAAAGCCCACUUUUGGGGAGAAGAAUAAAAAACAGCGCAAGGCAAAUUCAGUGUAUGUAGUAUAUAGAUCCCCAAUCAGCAAGUAGAAGCGUGGAGUUCUGAAUUGUCAAAGAUUGUUGACCCCCAGUCAAGUCUAGAGCAGACCUCUUCUAGCUCGAGAUCCUACAACUGUGACAAGAACCAGACUCCUGUGUGAAGCUAUAAAUUCCUAUAAAGCCUGGGCGAUCAAUUCCUGUCCCUGGUGCCUUGUAACAGUGGCCAAGAGAGCCCCUGGCUGAUAGGAGCACAACUCUAAAAGUGUGGCUUGCUCCUGAGCUGGUGACAGGAGCCCACCAACAGCCCAGAGUCAAUAAAGUCCUCCUCUGAGGAAAAGGUGGUGGUUUCUUUGACAAGGACACAAAGACCUCCUCCAUACGCCCCCGCUGGAGGCCUCUAGAAGAAUACCCUAUCUUGACUGUUUCCUAUCAGCAAAGAAAAGUGGCUAAAAGAGCCAUUUCCUGGCCAAAUCCUGAGAUGUAAAUACUCCUACCCCGGGGUCAAAUAUCAAGAGAUAUGUUCAUGACAAAUACGGACACAGCCGGACUGCCUUGCACCAGACACCCCGGAAGGCAGAUGGAGUAGACCAAGCACACUGUCCCCCAGAUCUGUGGCACUAGAGAAAUCUUCUACCGGGGCCACUGGACUCCUAAAUCCGCCAGUUACAGAUCACCAGUUGGAAGCUUUGGUAACCUUACAGGAGCCUAAACUUUGCCCUCUGAUAAAUGGGCGCACUGGUGUCAGCACAGUAGCUAGCCCAGUGAGGUUAUUUUCCCGGGGUAGUGGGAUGGGGAGCACAAGCCAACAGAAGCAGGACAGCGGUCGGUCCCAGCAUCGCGAGGGAAGGUCUAACGCAAGGGGAACAAUACCCGGGGUCAAACGACACACUCGCUCCCCAUUUUGAGAGGUUAUCAGACAGCUGAGGGUGAGGUUUGCUAACUUAACCAUUUGGGAGAAAAGAGCCAGAGGCAGAGAAAGCACACGAUCCCAGACCCCUGGGGAGAAAGGCAGAACCCAAAUCAAGAGGCAUUCUGCUCGGCCCAAUCCUGUGUUUGCUUUGUCCACUGAGAAAACUUUCGAAGAAAAAAUGAUCUUUAUCUAAACGGAGUUUCUUUUGAUAAUUCAAUGCUCUAGUUAAAUUUCAAGGACUCAAUUAAAGUUGUAUAUAAAAACUGUACCGUGGGGUGCCUGGGUGGCUCAGUGGACUGGGCCUCUGCCUUAAGCUCGGGUCAUGAUCCCAGGGUCCUGGGAUGACUGGAGUCAGGCUCUCUGCUCAGCAGGGAGCCUGCUUCCCUUCCUCUCUCUCUCUGCCUGCCUCUCUGUCUACUUGUGAUUUCUGUCUGUUAAAUAAAUAAAUAAAUAAAAUCUUUUUAAAAAACCACAAAAAACCUCGACCUUUAGAGGAAAAAAAUUAAAUACCAUGCAAUAUUAACACUUAUCUUACGUUUUUAAGACACACAAAUUCCAAGAGGGUCUCUGUGAGGAAUCUAAAUUCUGACAUUUUAAUUUGGGGUACUUGAAUGUGAUUUCAAAGUUCCUAAGAGAAUGUGCUACCAAAUAUGCAAAACAGAAGACUUUUUUUUGCAAAUUUGGAAAACACAUCAGAACUUUUUUGUGUCCAUAAAAAUUAAAUUCCAGGCAAAAAGAAUCCCAACAUUACUUAUUUCAUAUUCAAGACAGAAAAUUCUCUCUACUCUAAAAAUGUUGAGUCCCCAUACAAGUUUAUGGACUCCGUGCUAGACAGUCUGCCAGAAAUUCAUGCAUUAUUGACCUUCAAACAGUUGAACUGAGCAGCUCAAAGUCAGCUAAUUACCUGCACACACGAAACCCGAGACCGUCUUUUUUCGGCGCCCGUACUGAAUCACACUGUGAGAAAGGUAUCUUCUACGUGCAUUAGAGAUGACAAUAGAGCAUGAAUAAAACAGCCUGCAGAUCCACUCAAGUUUAAAUUAAAAAAAAAAAAAAAAAAGGAUGUUUUGUUCUAAGUAAUCCAAGAAGCUUCUCUGAUUUUUAAACUGUACUUUUAUCCAAGACAGAAUUUCCAGAUUCCUUUAACAUUAAAACUAAUCCUGCACUUUUAAAAAUGCAAGUAUUUUGUCGCAAUGUGUAUCUCAUCAGAGAUAAGAUGCUGUGCAGAAAUCUCCAUGGCUUGAAAUAGUUAGAUCUAUUGUGUUAUAACCUUAAAUAGGUUCAGAAAAUCAAACAAAAUUGGAACAAAAAAGAGAGAUUUCAGGCCAGCAAAACCAAGCCCCUCUCCGUGUCUCCCUUUUAUUUUAGUAAAAUAAAAGCAUGCAAACACUUUCCCUGGCACUUAGAAACAAAAGAGUUCCAAAGCCGCAGAGACUGGCUCUAGAUCUGAGGGUAGUUGGGUUAUCACCCAGGGAAGCUGGGAUUCUUUCUCAAACGUAGUGAUGUUUAUUUUGAACUCCUAGACACACACCUCCCCUUCUGGGACAUGUCCUCUGUUGAAAAGGCUUCGCUCGGGAGCCUGAGCUGUUCCAACACCACAGUAAUAACCACACUUCGCCCUGUCAGGGGUAGUAACUUAGUCGCCCCUUUCUUUUCGAGGGAUAUAGUCACGAAUAACCACUAUCAGCCGAAUUGCAGAGGCUUUGGGUCUUUAUGACAGGGGCCGCCAUGAUUCAGUUGUCAGACAGAACGUAGGACGUAGAAAAGACACAGAAGUGGCCCUACUUCGGGGAGCCCUUUGGCCUCUAGCAGCCUUCCCCCGACCACCACUCUCAUUCUGGGUAGAGCUAUGGGGACACCUGGCCAGGAGGAAAGGGUGCACAUGACUCAAAACGGCUGGCUUUGUUUUGUUUUUUAAUUUAUUUUUUUUUAAGAUUUUUAUUUAUCAGAUAGAGAUCACACGUAGGCAAAGAGGCAGGCAGAGAGAGAAGAGGAAGCNNNN
This 3405-nucleotide long non-coding RNA is filed under the name Mustela putorius furo (domestic ferret). RNAcentral's name for it is "lncRNA (ENSMPUG00000026445.1)". Lineage: Eukaryota; Metazoa; Chordata; Mammalia; Carnivora; Mustelidae. The record is from RNAcentral.